RNAcentral lists this transfer RNA (74 nucleotides) under Pteropus alecto (black flying fox). It matches the Rfam family "tRNA". From Rfam's summary of the family: Transfer RNA (tRNA) molecules are approximately 80 nucleotides in length. Their secondary structure includes four short double-helical elements and three loops (D, anti-codon, and T loops). Further hydrogen bonds mediate the characteristic L-shaped molecular structure. tRNAs have two regions of fundamental functional importance: the anti-codon, which is responsible for specific mRNA codon recognition, and the 3' end, to which the tRNAs corresponding amino acid is attached (by aminoacyl-tRNA synthetases). tRNAs cope with the degeneracy of the genetic code in two manners: having more than one tRNA (with a specific anti-codon) for a particular amino acid; and 'wobble' base-pairing, i.e. permitting non-standard base-pairing at the 3rd anti-codon position. The record is from Rfam by way of RNAcentral. Lineage: Eukaryota; Metazoa; Chordata; Mammalia; Chiroptera; Pteropodidae.
GGCUCCAUCGUGUAGUGGUUAGCACGUCUGCUUUACAUGCAGAAGGUCCUGGGUUUAUGCCCCAGGUGGAGCCA